UCGCACCUGUGAACACUUAGCCCACGGAAAUGGAAACUUCUGCUCACCCCAAAGCCUGCACACAAGCGUCUUUGGUGACCUGCUUUGCCAUCUCUCCAGUGCUGGGGACAACCGAGGUGUCCUCCAGGGGUGCAGUCAGACAACCGAGGUGUGUCUGUCCGCGCCGAUCACUGCUCACCAGUGACGGGCGGGCAGGGAGCACAAGGGCUCGAAGGCGUCUCCAGGGGGUUGUGCCGCACUCGAAGCCCCAGCCCUGCACACUAAAGACAACGAGUUUCGGAACUGGGGAGCAGACUGGUGAGGCAGAGGAAAGACUCGGAAGUGACCGGUGUCGCCACUGAGAACGGUAACUCUGGUGCAUCCACUCUGUGGAACACUGGGUGAAGCUCAUCUAAAGAAGACAAAGCGCAUGGCUAAGUUGCACACAGAGAAUGACAAGCAUCAUUAAUAUAAGCAGACACGCAGUUUCUGGAGGUAAUUUUCAUUUUAAAUUCAUGACCACAAACCCCAAAUGAUCGUGCAGCGCAACUGGUAAUCCUGAAAUGCUUCCCUGGUAAGUUUAUUUUCCCUCUGAAAGUGAUUAUUUUGUGCAUUCCCUCCCCUCACAUCUCCCACAUUCCCUCCCUGUGUCUCAUCCAAAACGGGACCUUGCUUAACCCUUUACCGGAAAUUGGAAGCCCUCGGCCACAUCCUUGGCUCCCACCGGAAGCUCCCUCCCUGUCAGCCGGGACGUCAGCCCCUCCCUGCUCCUUUCAAAGAGGGUCCCCUGUCACCUCGCUGGGGACGUCUGUCCUGCAGCUCUGCCCUCCCUCCUGCGUCAUCAGAGACUGCCCAGGCGUCCCCGUCCGCGCAGGGCACACUGCAGGAUUUCCCAUAGCAAACUCCAUUCUCACUGGACGCGGACCUCUCUCAUGCUACCUCCAGGUCUUUGUGGGCAGUGACGGGCCGCCAGUUGUCCCCCAAAGACCCAUGGCCCCUUGCACACCCAGUGCUGCUGCAGCUGGUGAGUGGCCACCCAGCUAGUCCAGGGCCUCUGGGACUUUCAUGGGGACACUGAGUGAGGUCUGGGUAACAGAAUGUGGCACAGGUGACUUUGGCAACUCCACGCUUGGCUCAUGAAAUUCUCCUCUGUGAUCCUUUCCACCUCUCUGCCUGUGCUGGUUUGAUACUGACAGCCAGGGCCACUCUGAGCACACGGGCCGGAGCAGAUGCCAGGAAACCAGGUGCGGCUGUGCAUGCCUGUAACAUCAGCACUAAGGUCAAAGGGCUGCAAGUUCAAACCCAGCCAGGGCAACUUAGUGACAGAACCUGGUUUCAAAAUAAAAAAGAAAACAAGGGCUGGAGAAUAGACCUCAGAGCAGAGGCCCCAGGUUCAACCUUCAGUACCACACACACAUGAAGAAGAAAGAGGGAGAAGGAACAGGGGAAGGAGCAGGGGGAGGAAAGUGCUGGAGAUGGUAAGGAGCAGUGCCUGCCUCUCACUCUCCACGCUUACCACUGACUAGGAUUUAAAAGGGAAAGAAAGAAACUUCC
This 1533-nucleotide long non-coding RNA is filed under the name Fukomys damarensis (Damara mole-rat). Its description in RNAcentral is "lncRNA (ENSFDAG00000032005.1)". Lineage: Eukaryota; Metazoa; Chordata; Mammalia; Rodentia; Bathyergidae. The record is from RNAcentral.